CACCGCGGUCAUACGAGUGUAGCCCAAGUGGACAGCUAGCGGCGUAAAGUGUGGUUAGGGGCCCACCUAAAACUAAAGCAGAACCACCUCCCGGCUGUUAUACGCACCCGAAAGCAUGAAGCCCUCCCACGAAAGUGACUUUAACUCCCCCGAACCCACGAGAGCCAGGAAA
Molecule: ribosomal RNA, 172 nt
Filed under: Myctophum sp. FLMOO_1333
Lineage: Eukaryota; Metazoa; Chordata; Actinopteri; Myctophiformes; Myctophidae
Description: partial small subunit ribosomal RNA
Source: RNAcentral